GAUGAGUCUGCGUCUGAUUAGCUAGAUGGUGGGGUAACGGCUUACCAUGGCGACGAUCAGUAGUCGGCCUGAGAGGGUGACCGGCCACAUUGGGACUGAGACACGGCCCAAACUCCUACGGGAGGCAGCAGUGGGGAAUCUUCCGCAAUGGGCGAAAGCCUGACGGAGCAACGCCGCGUGAUCGAAUGAAGGCCUUCGGGUUGUAAAGAUCUGUUGACAGGGACGAAUAAGCAAUGCGAAUAGUUUUGUGUAUGACGGUACCUGUUUAGAAAGCUCCGGCUAACUACGUGCCAGCAGCCGCGGUAAUACGUAGGGAGCAAGCGUUGUCCGGAAUUACUGGGCGUAAAGGGCGCGUAGGUGGGCGCUUAAGUCAGGUGUGAAAACUCCGGGCUCAACCUGGAGACUGCACUUGAAACUGGGUGUCUUGAGGGCAGGAGAGGAAAGUGGAAUUCCUAGUGUAGCGGUGAAAUGCGUAGAUAUUAGGAGGAACACCAGUGGCGAAGGCGACUUUCUGGACUGUACCUGACGCUGAGGCGCGAAAGCGUGGGUAGCGAACGGGAUUAGAUACCCCGGUAGUCCACGCCGUAAACGAUGAAUACUAGGUGU
Molecule: ribosomal RNA, 606 nt
Filed under: uncultured bacterium
Lineage: Bacteria
Description: bacterial SSU rRNA
Rfam family: Bacterial small subunit ribosomal RNA
Source: RNAcentral